AUUGAACGCUGGCGGCAUGCCUUACACAUGCAAGUCGAACGGCAGCGCGGGAGCAAUCCUGGCGGCGAGUGGCGAACGGGUGAGUAAUAUAUCGGAACGUGCCCAGUAGUGGGGGAUAGCCCGGCGAAAGCCGGAUUAAUACCGCAUACGACCCUGAGGGUGAAAGCGGGGGAUCGCAAGACCUCGCGCUAUUGGAGCGGCCGAUAUCAGAUUAGCUAGUUGGUGGGGUAAAGGCCUACCAAGGCAACGAUCUGUAGUUGGUCUGAGAGGACGACCAGCCACACUGGGACUGAGACACGGCCCAGACUCCUACGGGAGGCAGCAGUGGGGAAUUUUGGGACAAUGGGCGCGAAGCCUGAUCCAGCAAUGCCGCGUGCAGGAAGAAGGCCUC
RNAcentral lists this ribosomal RNA (391 nucleotides) under uncultured bacterium. Its description in RNAcentral is "bacterial SSU rRNA". It matches the Rfam family "Bacterial small subunit ribosomal RNA", at positions 29 to 418 of the family's 1533-position model. The record is from RNAcentral.